UACGUAGGGGGCAAGCGUUGUCCGGAUUUAUUGGGCGUAAAGAGCGUGUAGGCGGCCUGACAGGUCUGCUGUGAAAACUCGAGGCUCAACCUCGAGAUGUCGGCGGAAACCGUCUGGCUAGAGUCCGGAAGAGGAGAGUGGAAUUCCUGGUGUAGCGGUGGAAUGCGCAGAUAUCAGGAAGAACACCUAUGGCGAAGGCAGCUCUCUGGGACGGUACUGACGCUGAGACGCGAAAGCGUGGGGAGCGAACAGG
This 253-nucleotide ribosomal RNA is filed under the name uncultured bacterium. RNAcentral describes it as "partial 16S ribosomal RNA". It matches the Rfam family "Bacterial small subunit ribosomal RNA", at positions 524 to 776 of the family's 1533-position model. The record is from RNAcentral.